UGGGUUGCCUCGUUGCGGCAUACCUUGCAAGAAAGUUCUAACAAUAUCGCGGCCCGGCCAGAACUUCGACGCUGCGAAGGGAAAAGGCCGAGUUUACCGCGGAGUUUCGUGCCUCCCGAACUUCCCCGGGAUCGGAAUACUCCGGAGCCCGUUCGAAGUUCGAGAAUUUUCGUAGAAUACUCGACGCCAGACGGAUUACAAUAAAUUCUCAGCUCGAUGCUGAUAGAUGUAUAGCUGUUCCACACUGUGAUUUCGCAAAUACAUCAAGAUUUCGUGGGUAUUUCCACUCCGCUCGUAGCUCUGCUAAAAUUAAUUUAAUUGGAUACAAUAGAAGAUAGAGCACUCGACGCAAUGCGCAUCGAAGUAUUCAUCGUGCAAGCGGAAAAAAUCACGGUAAAAAUUCUAGAAGUUAACUACAUAAAAUGUAAUGAAACAUUACGUAAAAAAACGAGAUACCUUUGUAAAGAGAAUUUCGUUUCUUUCGGUUGUGCAAUGAUUCUGCACUCUUUAAAAUCUAGGAUAAAUUUCACUAGCACCAAAUUGAAUCGAGAAUCAAAGGAAGAAAUGAAAUUAAUACAACCGUUUCACCCACAAAAAUGACCCGCCGUUAAUUAGAAGCAAAGGAAUGCAAAUGUAAUUGGAGUACCGAAAUGUUCCAAUUAAGGCUUUUAAACAUCUCGAUGGAACUAUAUCAAUCGAUAGCAUAAAAUGCUUCGAUUCGAUGAUUAUUACAGGGACACCGGAACCAUUGUUGCCGCGCGACGAACCAAUCAAUGCUGUUAUUUAACUUACAUCAGCAUUUGAGAGUUUCAAUUAGCCGACCGAUCUAUUCAAUGACGUUUGAUUUCCACUCAUUUGAUGUUCAGCACGUGAUCGAUUCCUGUGGUUGCAUGCGACUCUGGAAUAACACAUUUGUCGCCGAGGCAAGCGUAUAUAAUAACAAAUCAGAAAGCGCAUCAUGUAAAACUUGACUCGACAUUUUAGAACAUUCCAUAAUAGUGAUUAUUUUGUGACAAUAACUAGUAAA
Long non-coding RNA from Nomia melanderi (Alkali bee), 1027 nucleotides. RefSeq lists it as uncharacterized. The record is from RefSeq and is a predicted model, not a curated record. NCBI's taxonomy places the organism in Eukaryota, Metazoa, Arthropoda, Insecta, Hymenoptera, Halictidae.